AAGCAUCAGUGCAUCGAGGCCUACGUAUAGCAACUGUCAGUGCGACGAUCAGUCAAGGAUUGCAAAAAAGCUCUUCUCCCUCUUCUCCUCUAGCUCACCCACGGCCAAAGCAUGGAAAAAGAUGAAGAUAUUUCAAAUUUUGGCUAUUUAUAGAUUGGUCAAAAACGCGGCAAAACAAAUAUUUCCCGAUUCCGAUUUUUCCUGUGCAAUACUCCGUGAAUUCUGAGUGGGUUUCCGAUGUCAAGUUUCCAGAACUUGAAUCA
This 263-nucleotide long non-coding RNA is filed under the name Lotus japonicus. Its description in RNAcentral is "long non-coding RNA (LJAP_LNC002213)". Lineage: Eukaryota; Viridiplantae; Streptophyta; Magnoliopsida; Fabales; Fabaceae. The record is from RNAcentral.